GCCACUACCACCAGGCAACAUCCUGAGAGGAUCCGCUAUCAUCUAAGUUUCUCACCUUGACACAAAGCCUUGUUUGGCCCUCCCUAGUUAUACUUCUGGGUUUUUUCUUAAGUCUCUGUUGUUUUUUUUUUUCCCUCAGUCUUUGCAACAGUACUAAGUUUAAUGCCACAUCAGACUGAAUAUUUCUCUUUGAAUCAGCUGCCUAAAUCACCUUUGCUGACAUCUGCAAUCAUGAGAUUCAGACCCUGAAAAUACUGACUGCAAUUAGGACUUCCAAAUCAGGGUACAUCAAGGAAGAGAAAAUGGAAACUCAUGGGACAAACACAUGGCAAAUUUCCCACUCAAACUGAUAGAUUAUUAUUUCUGGAUGAAGAUUUUAGAUUCAGGCCCAUCGUUGGAAAUAAUAGACUGCAGCUGACUCAGGCACAAGGUAUGUAUUUUUACCUUGUGGAUCUCGGUUUUGUGACUUUAAAAAUGGAGUUA
This 483-nucleotide long non-coding RNA is filed under the name Phascolarctos cinereus (koala). RNAcentral describes it as "lncRNA (ENSPCIG00000025860.2)". Lineage: Eukaryota; Metazoa; Chordata; Mammalia; Diprotodontia; Phascolarctidae. The record is from RNAcentral.